Molecule: long non-coding RNA, 358 nt
Filed under: Phascolarctos cinereus (koala)
Lineage: Eukaryota; Metazoa; Chordata; Mammalia; Diprotodontia; Phascolarctidae
Description: lncRNA (ENSPCIG00000006743.2)
Source: RNAcentral
AGAAGGAUAGGUUGGCCUUGACUUCUAAAGGACUUGAAUGUCGGACAAGAAGAUUUACACUUCACUUGGGAAAAAAUGUAGGCAGUCACUGAAUUUCAGAACUCGAAAGGGUUCCCAAGACCAUCUAGUUGAAGACAGACCUGAAGAAGAAUGCUUUCAUGACCAUCUAGCUUUUUGAUAGACCUAAGGGGGAAGAGGGUAAGAGAAGAAGUGUGGACGAGUGGAGAGAAUUCCUACUAACCAAAUUCCCCCUGUCACUGAAGAUAGUCAACUGUUCUUGAAUUUAUGCAUCAUUCUUCAACAAUUAAAGAUUUGCCCAGGCUACUGGAAGGUAAGUGUCAGCUUGUAUAGGUCAGAG